AGUGUCCGGCGCCCCCUUCCCUUCGCCAGGCCCGUUUGGCGCCUUCACUCGGGAAGACGUCGGCCAGGACUUUGCGCUUUGGAGACGUCUUACUUCGGCAGCACUCGCACACUGCGAGAUCCGACACGGGCAGCGGGGACCUAGGGAGCCGGGGACGCUGCCUGUCGGGUACGGUUCCGCAGCUACCGCAGCCCCGUGGGCCAUGAGUUCUUCCCAUCAGACUCAUAGAGUUCAAGGCACACUGAAGAUAUGCUUCCAGGGGCUUGCAAUGUGUGUUGUCUUCGAGCUGGCAAAGGAGUCCCUGAUGGAAACAGCACUGUGAAUCUACUGGCUCCUGAUUCGUCCACACCCUAGUUAGCAGGAAACAAGUCUUUACGGAUGAUCUCACCGCUCACUGAGGCAGAGGACCACCUGAUGAAAGCUAGGCCUCUUUCACGUUCAGUAUGAAGUAAUGAGGGACACCCUAUUAAUCUCCAGGUACGAGCAUGAGGAACAUCAGCUGUAGGAUAUUUUGUUUAAAAACUAGGUUUUCCUUGGCAAAGAUCUUCAAAAGAUCUGUUUGGAGGUAAGUAAAAAGAGCAAUCUUCUCUAAAAUUUUAUGAUCCCAGGUAAAUACCAGGAGAACAAAAAUGCAGAAUAUGCCUUUUCAAAUUUCUCAUAUUCAACAUCAAAAAAGCUUUAUUAAUAAGUAGCAAGUGGUAUACCUAGGAAUCCAACUUACAAGGGAUGUGAAGGACCUCUUCAAGGAGGGCUACAAACCACUGCUCAACAAAAUAAAAGAGGAUAGAAACAAAUGGAAGAACAUUCUAUGCUCAUGGAUAGGAAGAAUCAAUAUCAUGAAAAUGGCCAUACUGCCCAGGGUAAUUUAUAGAUUCAAUGCCAUCCCCAUCAAGCUACCAAUGACUUUCUUCACAGAAUUGGAAAAAACUACUGUAAAGUUCAUAUGGAACCAAAAAAGAGCCCACGUUGCCAAGUCAAUCCUAAGCCAAACGAACAAAGCUGGAGUACCUGACUUCAAACUAUACUAUAACGCUACAGUAACCAAAACAGCAUGGUACUGGUACCAAAACAGAUAUACAGACCAAUGGAACAGAACAGAGCCCUCAGAAAUAAUACCACACAUCUACAACUAUCUGAUCUUUGACAAACCUGACAAAAACAAGAAAUGGGGAAAGGAUUCCCUAUUUAACAAAUGGUGCUGGGAAAACUUGGCUAGCCAUAGGUAGAAAGCUGAAACUGGAUCUCUUCCUUACACCUUAUACAAAAAUUAAUUCAAGAUGGAUUAAAGACUUAAAUGUUAGAC
Molecule: long non-coding RNA, 1303 nt
Filed under: Homo sapiens (human)
Lineage: Eukaryota; Metazoa; Chordata; Mammalia; Primates; Hominidae
Description: non-protein coding lnc-DCLRE1C-1:7
Source: RNAcentral